UCGGGAAUUUUGGGCAAUGGGCGAAAGCCUGAUCCAGCCAUGCCGCGUGUGUGAAGAAGGUCUUCGGAUUGUAAAGCACUUUAAGUUGGGAGGAAGGGCAGUUACCUAAUACGUAUCUGUUUUGACGUUACCGACAGAAUAAGCACCGGCUAACUCUGUGCCAGCAGCCGCGGUAAUACAGAGGGUGCAAGCGUUAAUCGGAAUUACUGGGCGUAAAGGGCGCGUAGGCGGUGUGUCAAGUCAUCUGUGAAAUCUCCGAGCUUAACUCGGAACGGUCAGAUGAUACUGCUGUGCUAGAGUACAGAAAGGGCAAUCGGAAUUCUUGGUGUAGCGGUGAAAUGCGUAGAUAUCAAGAGGAACACCUGAGGCGAAGGCGGGUUGCUAGGCUGAUACUGACGCUGAGGCGCGAAAGCUAGGGUAGCAAACGGGAUUAGAUACCCCCGUAGUCCCUGAGCGGGCUGGCAAGGCGCAU
Molecule: ribosomal RNA, 472 nt
Filed under: uncultured bacterium
Lineage: Bacteria
Description: bacterial SSU rRNA
Rfam family: Bacterial small subunit ribosomal RNA
Source: RNAcentral